Molecule: ribosomal RNA, 576 nt
Filed under: uncultured eukaryote
Lineage: Eukaryota
Description: bacterial SSU rRNA
Rfam family: Eukaryotic small subunit ribosomal RNA
Source: RNAcentral
AGGCGUUCAUUAGAUAUCAACCAGACGCUUCGGCGAGUAAGGUGAAUCAUAGUGUUCAAUCGAGUCGCACGGUGUUUGCCAGGCGAUGCGUCAGUCAAGUUUCUGACCUAUCAGCUUCCGACGGUAAGGUAUUGGCUUACCGUGGCAGUGACGGGUAACGGGGAAUUAGGGUUUGAUUCCGGAGAGGGAGCCUUAGAAACGGCUACCACAUCUAAGGAAGGCAGCAGGCGCGUAAAUUACCCAAUUCUGACACAGAGAGGCAGCGACAAGAAAUAACAAUACAGCAUACUUUGUGUGUUGUAAUUGGAAUGAGUGGGAGGCAAAUAGUCCCACCAGUAACAAUUGGAGGGCAAGUCUGGUGCCAGCAGCCGCGGUAAUUCCAGCUCCAAUAGCGUAUAUUAAAGUUGUUGCAGUUAAAAAGCUCGUAGCUGGGUUGAUGGUAGUUAGAUCUUACUGGCUUAGUUGACAGAGGAUAAGAGCUCCCAUUUGCUUGCAACGAAGCGUACGCAGAGUUGCAGCGCAUUUACUUUGAGUAAACUAGAGUGUUUCAAGCAAGCAAUUGCGAUGAAUACUGCA